AGCAGCCGCGGUAAUUUCAGCUCCAAUAGCGUAUAUUAAAGUUGUUGCAGUUAAAAAGCUCGUAGUUGAAUUUCGGGAUCAUCAGGCUGGUCGUGCCUUCGGUAUGUACUUGCUUCGAUGGUCUCUCCUUCCUGAAGAACCGUGAUGGCAUUAAUUUGUUGUUACGGGGAAACAGGACUGUUACUUUGAAAAAAUUAGAGUGUUUAAAGCAGGCAAUCGCUUGAAUACAUUAGCAUGGAAUAAUGAAAUAGGACGUUCGAACCUAUUUUGUUGGUUUCUAGGAUUGACGUAAUGAUUAAUAGGGAUAGUUGGGGGCAUUAGUAUUCAAUCGUCAGAGGUGAAAUUCUUGGAUUUAUUGAAGACUAACUACUGCGAAAGCAUUUGCCAAGGAUGUUUUCAUUAAUCAAGAACGAAAGUUAGGGGAUCGAAGACGAUCAGAUACCGUCGUAGUCUUAACCGAUAAACUA
Molecule: ribosomal RNA, 467 nt
Filed under: uncultured Glomus
Lineage: Eukaryota; Fungi; Glomeromycota; Glomeromycetes; Glomerales; Glomeraceae
Description: SSU rRNA
Rfam family: Eukaryotic small subunit ribosomal RNA
Source: RNAcentral